RNAcentral lists this ribosomal RNA (482 nucleotides) under Streptococcus mitis. RNAcentral's name for it is "bacterial SSU rRNA". It matches the Rfam family "Bacterial small subunit ribosomal RNA", at positions 28 to 493 of the family's 1533-position model. The record is from RNAcentral. Lineage: Bacteria; Bacillati; Bacillota; Bacilli; Lactobacillales; Streptococcaceae.
GACGAACGCCGGCGGCGUGCCUAAUACAUGCAAGUAGAACGCUGAAGGAGGAGCUUGCUUCUCUGGAUGAGUUGCGAACGGGUGAGUAACGCGUAGGUAACCUGCCUGGUAGCGGGGGAUAACUAUUGGAAACGAUAGCUAAUACCGCAUAAUAGCAGUUAUUGCAUGAUAACUGUUUGAAAGGUGCAAUUGCACCACUACCAGAUGGACCUGCGUUGUAUUAGCUAGUUGGUGGGGUAACGGCUCACCAAGGCGACGAUACAUAGCCGACCUGAGAGGGUGAUCGGCCACACUGGGACUGAGACACGGCCCAGACUCCUACGGGAGGCAGCAGUAGGGAAUCUUCGGCAAUGGACGGAAGUCUGACCGAGCAGCGCCGCGUGAGUGAAGAAGGUUUUCGGAUCGUAAAGCUCUGUUGUAAGAGAAGAACGAGUGUGAGAGUGGAAAGUUUCACACUGUGACGGUAUCUACCAAAAAAGGAC